AGUUGUAUCCUGGCUCAGGAUGAACGCUGGCGGUAUGCUUAACACAUGCAAGUCGAACGAAAGUUUUUAACUUUAGUGGCGAACGGGUGCGUAAUACGUGAGAAUCUGCCCUUAGGAGGAGUAUAACUGCUGGAAACGGCUGCUAACACUCCAUAUGUCGAGAGAUGAAAUAAUUUAUUGCCUAAGGAUGAGCUCGCGCCUGAUUAGCUAGUUGGUGAGGUAAUGGCUCACCAAGGCCACGAUCAGUAGCUGGUUUGAGAGAACGAUCAGCCACACUGGGACUGAGACACGGCCCAGACUCCUCCGGGAGGCAGCAGUGAGGAAUUUUCCGCAAUGGGCGAAAGCCUGACGGAGCAAUACCGCGUGAGGGAUGAAGGAUUUUGGUCUGUAAACCUCUUUUCUCAAGAAAGAAGUUCUGACGGUACUUGAGGAAUAAGCAUCGGCUAACUCCGUGCCAGCAGCCGCGGUAAUACGGGGGAUGCAAGCGUUAUCCGGAAUCAUUGGGCGUAAAGCGCCUGUAGGUUGUUUAAUAAGUCUGUUGUUAAAGACUAGGGCUUAACCCUAGAAAAGCAAUGGAAACUACUAGACUAGAGUAUGGCAGGGGUAGAGGGAAUUUCUAGUGUAGCGGUGAAAUGCGUAGAUAUUAGAAAGAACACCGGUGGCGAAAGCGCUCUACUGGACCAUUACUGACACUCAGAGGCGAAAGCUAGGGUAGCAAAAGGGAUUAGAUACCCCUGUAGUCCUAGCCGUAAACGAUGGAUACUAGAUGUUGUGCUUUAUGUACAGUAUCGUAGCUAACGCGUUAAGUAUCCCGCCUGGGGAGUACGCUCGCANGGUGAAANCUCAAAGGAAUUGACGGGG
RNAcentral lists this ribosomal RNA (861 nucleotides) under uncultured bacterium. RNAcentral's name for it is "bacterial SSU rRNA". It matches the Rfam family "Bacterial small subunit ribosomal RNA", at positions 10 to 918 of the family's 1533-position model. The record is from RNAcentral.